Molecule: ribosomal RNA, 497 nt
Filed under: uncultured bacterium
Lineage: Bacteria
Description: partial 16S ribosomal RNA
Rfam family: Bacterial small subunit ribosomal RNA
Source: RNAcentral
GAUGAACGCUGGCGGCGUGCCUAAUACAUGCAAGUCGAGCGAACAGACGCGGAGCUUGCUCCUCUGACGUUAGCGGCGGACGGGUGAGUAACACGUGGAUCCCCUACCUAUAAGACUGGGAUCACUUCGGGACACCGGCGCUAAUCCCGGAUAAUCUCUUGAACCGCAUGGUUCAAUGGUGAAAGUCGGUUUUUCUGUCACUUAUCGCUGGAUCCGGGCCGCAUGAGCUAGUUGUUAAGGUAACGGCUUACCAAGGGUACGAUGCGUAUCCGACCUGAGAGGGGGAUAGGCGACACGGGAGCUGGAACACCGUCCAGACUCCUACGGGAGGCAGCAGAAGGGAACGGGCGGCAAUGGGCGGAAGCAUGACGGAGCAACGCGGAGUGAGUGAUGAAGGUCUUCGGAGCGUAAAACUCUGUUAUUAGUGAAGAACAAAUGUGUAAGUAACUAUGCACGUCUUGACGGUACCUAAUCAGAAAGCCACGGCUAACUACGUG